Molecule: ribosomal RNA, 254 nt
Filed under: uncultured bacterium
Lineage: Bacteria
Description: partial 16S ribosomal RNA
Rfam family: Bacterial small subunit ribosomal RNA
Source: RNAcentral
UACGUAGGGUGCAAGCGUUAAUCGGAAUUACUGGGCGUAAAGCGUGCGCAGGCGGUUAUGUAAGACAGAUGUGAAAUGCCCGGGCUUAACCUGGGAACUGCAUUUGUGACUGCAUGGCUAGAGUGUGUCAGAGGGGGGUAGAAUUCCACGUGUAGCAGUGAAAUGCGUAGAUAUCGAGAGGAACACCUGCGGCGAAGGCGGGUUGCUGGGCUGAUACUGACGCUGAGGCGCGAAAGCCAGGGGAGCGAACGGGG